RNAcentral lists this ribosomal RNA (497 nucleotides) under uncultured bacterium. RNAcentral describes it as "partial 16S ribosomal RNA". It matches the Rfam family "Bacterial small subunit ribosomal RNA", at positions 28 to 507 of the family's 1533-position model. The record is from RNAcentral.
GAUGAACGCUGGCGGCGUGCCUAAUACAUGCAAGUCGAGCGAACGGACGAGAAGCUUGCUUCUCUGAUGUUAGCGGCGGACGGGUGAGUAACACGUGGAUAACCUACCUAUAAGACUGGGAUAACUUCGGGAAACCGGAGCUAAUACCGGACAAUAUUUUGAACCGCAUGGUUCAAAAGUGAAAGACGGUCUUGCUGUCACUUAUAGAUGGAUCGGCGCUGCAUUAGCUAGUUGGUAAGGUAACGGCUUACCAAGGCAACGAUGCAUAGCCGACCUGAGAGGGUGAUCGGCUACACUGGAUCUGAGGCACGGCCCAGACUCCUACGGGAGGCAGCAGUAGGGAAUCUUCCGCAAUGGGCGAAAGCCUGACGGAGCAACGCCGCGUGAGUGAUGAAGGUCUUCGGAUCGUAAAACUCUGUUAUUAGGGAAGAACAUAUGUGUAAGUAACUGUGCACAUCUUGACGGUACCUAAUCAGAAAGCCACGGCUAACUACGUG